UUACAGAGCGCCUGCGAUGCAAAUUAAUCUCCCAAAUCCAGCAGCCAACUCCUAGUGUGCAUCACUUUGUAUCCAGAGAAACCUCAUUUAAAAACUACCAAAAAAAAUAUGCAUCAGCCCAGAUUAGGACUUUAACAUAAAGCCUCUUUCUGUCUCAUUACCAGCAAAUUUAUUUUGAUCCCAAAGAGAGUUAGAUAUGUCGCAUGUGUUUUUUUUUUUUUACUAUUUCUAUUUGUAUGAGAAUAUACUGCAGCACAUACUGUGCUUAAGCUGUAGUAGCAAUGGCAGGUUGGUGCCAUCUAAUAUAUAAUCCUUGCUAUUACCCACGGGAGGCCAGAAAGGAGGGUAUGUGAGGCGGGAGGAGGGUGUGAGAAAAAAAAAAAACAGGACAAGGAGCAAAAUUUAUCUACCUGGGAACGCUGAGCAGCCAAAGAAUCUGGAGGUUUUCAUGCGGAAACCUUGUAAGUACAGGUUUUACACUCAAUUAAAAGGAUUGUGGGUAAAAAAAACUUAAAUGUGCCGAUAACGUUCGUAAAAAUAUUUCCAGAACUGCACAAACUACAAGCUUGGAAGUCUUAAUUUCUCUGCUCCUGCAACUUUGACAUAUUGGAGAUACAAGAUUUUCACCUGCCAGCGGCAGGGAGCAUGGCGAGUGGUUGCUAUGGCGACUCUCUCGUCUAGCCGAGCAGAGGGGACAUGUAAAAAGGGGGGUUUGCUCUCUCUCUCUCUCUCUGCCUUUCCAUGUUUCUCUUUUUCUAGGCUGUAGCCAUAAAUAAAUGGACACAUCUCCUACAGCCCCUCUUCCCCUCCGGAGCUCAAUGAAAACAGGCAGUCAACAUUCACUAUGUGACAUCCUGGAAAAUGAGGUGUCGUGCUUGAGGAUUUCCAUGACAGCCAAAUCAUGCAGAAGAAGCUGUAGUUCAUCUAAACAGGGUCACCAGCGUCGACUGUGCUGCUGCAGCGACAGUCCCAGCCGACGGGUACUGGAUGCUUAAAAAAGGUAACAGGAAAUUGGCCAUUCAGCACAUCAUCUACAGUAGCUGCUCCAGUCAGCCAACGGACUGAUGGAUGGCAAGUCACACUCAAGCUGCGACACCAUUGAUUUUCUACAUAUACAACCCAAGACUGCUGAUUCAAGAUAAUGUUACGUUUUUAAAAGGCUUCGCUGUGACAUUGCGAUGAUAAAUUUAGGCCAUGAAACUGAUAAAUGAGCCCGGGCAACAUUGACAGUUAAGAUU
Long non-coding RNA from Larimichthys crocea (large yellow croaker), 1238 nucleotides. RefSeq lists it as uncharacterized. The record is from RefSeq and is a predicted model, not a curated record. The transcript is spliced from 3 exons. Lineage: Eukaryota; Metazoa; Chordata; Actinopteri; Sciaenidae.